ACUCCUGAAUGCGCUGAAAGAUUGAGAAAAUCCAGAUCAAGCCAAGCAAGGGAAUAUGUGCAUGGUCUUCCAGUGGGAUAGGAGCAAAAUAAUUCCCCGAGUUCUGCCCAGGAGAGAGGAUUGCUUGUUCCAGACCUAAUAUUGCAAUAUCCAGAGACCUUUUAACCCUAACGGACCCUAACAAAGAUAGAACGAACCAUGUCAGAGAAGGCUCAAAACCACCUUCAAAGUCAGAAUCUGAAGCCAUUUUACCUGCUAGUCUCUCCAGUUCUUCAUGUGGUGUUGACCCAAGACUGCUGGAUCGGCUUCCUGAUCGGCUGGGGUUAGAGAACCACCUACUGAACCGAC
Neomonachus schauinslandi (Hawaiian monk seal) is the source of this 348-nucleotide long non-coding RNA. RefSeq lists it as uncharacterized. The transcript is spliced from 3 exons. The record is from RefSeq and is a predicted model, not a curated record. Lineage: Eukaryota; Metazoa; Chordata; Mammalia; Carnivora; Phocidae.